Molecule: non-coding RNA, 311 nt
Organism: Homo sapiens (human)
Lineage: Eukaryota; Metazoa; Chordata; Mammalia; Primates; Hominidae
Source: Rfam
GCCAGGCGUGGUGGCACAUGCCUGUAAUCCCAGCUACUGGGGAGGCUGAGGCAGGAGAAUUGCUUGAACCCAGGAGGUGGAGGCUGCAGUGAGCUGACAUCGAGCUACUGCACUCCAGCCUGGGUGACAGAGUGAGACUCUGUCAAAAAAAAAAAAAAAAAAAAAAAUUUCCCCCGUGCUGUGGUUUGUCUUUUUUUGUUGUUAUUGUUUGAGACAAGGUCUGACUCUUUUGCUCAGGUUGGAGUGCAGUGGUAUGAUCAUAGCUCACUGUAGCCUCAACCUCCUGGGCUCAAGCAGUCCUCCGGCCUCAG